RNAcentral lists this long non-coding RNA (1176 nucleotides) under Olea europaea (common olive). RNAcentral's name for it is "long non-coding RNA (OEUR_LNC002087)". Lineage: Eukaryota; Viridiplantae; Streptophyta; Magnoliopsida; Lamiales; Oleaceae. The record is from RNAcentral.
GCUAACCUAAAACUCAUGUUUCUUCCUCUUACACUUGUUGCUCCCCAAACUAUUAUUGUCAAUGAAUGAACGAGACAAACAAUAAAUGGACUCAGUUUUACAUUGGUUCUGUGAAGGGCGGAAGCAUAGAGAAGGAAAAGAAAGAUAUAUGAACAAUAGAAAAGGGGGAAAGAAUAUUUCUGUAUUACUUCCAGAAGGAACUCCAGUGAUGAUUUAGGCAUUACCUAGCAAACGAGGGAAACCACCAAGUCAAAAUUAUGAAUCAUUUGCCUUUUCAACCUUCUGCUCUGCUUGAUUAUCGUUGCUCUCUUCCUGCUGUGUGCUUGGACUCUGUCCCUCCCUCGAAGAUUUUUCUUCAGGUUGGGUGCUUAAAAUCUGUCCGUCAUUCAAAGAUUUGCUGCUGUUUGCUUCCUCGACAGCAUUGGGCUUCCCCUGUUGAAUUAGAAUUUUCCCCUCAACAUUGUUAGUUCAGUGCACAAGUCGAAGUCAUUUUCUUAAGUACUUUACAUACCAUAAAAGCAUAAAGAAAUAACAGAAGAAACAGUGUCUUCUACAGAUAUCACAUUACAUCAGCGAUAAUGGAGUUCUAUAGAUGCUAUACCAUUCGUCCAGAAUACUGUGUCCACCAAAAUGCAUGUAACAAUGACAGAAUGGUUUGUGCUCGAGCAAUGAAGAGAAGAACGCAUAUGACAUGCACAAGUUCAAAAACAUCAUAAUUGUACGGAAAUUGCAGGAAGCAAAAUUACAAACCACCAAGAAACGAAAAAAAAGCACAAAGAUUAGUCAUUUGUACCACCAAAACCUGGAUUAAGGUGUAUCAGACAAGAAAGGAAUUGCAUGAUGCAUAACGUCACUAUGAAAAUAUGUAUUCAUCGAGAGAGCCAUUGCGCAUCUAGAUAAUAUAAGUAUCAUAAAUCAGGUUACCAAUUAGUAAUUUUACCAGUUGACUGCACAGACUAAUAUCAGCAACAUUGUUGCUUCCCAAACUAUUAUUGUCAAUGAAUGUACGAGACAAACAAUAAAUGGACUCAGUUUUACAUUGGUUCUGUGAGGGGCGGAAGCAUAGAGAAGGAAAAGAAAGAUAUAUGAACAAUAGAAAAGGGGGAAAGAAUAUUUCUAUAUUGCUUCCAGAAGGAACUCCAGUGAUGAUUUAGGCAUUACCUAGCAAACGAGGGA